AGGAAAGCAGGGGAUCGCAAGACCUCGCGCUAUUGGAGCGGCCGAUGUCCGAUUAGCUAGUUGGUGGGGUAAAGGCCUACCAAGGCGACGAUCGGUAGCUGGUCUGAGAGGAUGAUCAGCCACACUGGGACUGAGACACGGCCCAGACUCCUACGGGAGGCAGCAGUGGGGAAUUUUGGACAAUGGGCGCAAGCCUGAUCCAGCCAUGCCGCGUGAGUGAAGAAGGCCUUCGGGUUGUAAAGCUCUUUCGGCCGGAACGAAAUCGACCAGGCCAAUACCCUGGUUGGAUGACGGUACCGGAAGAAGAAGCACCGGCUAACUACGUGCCAGCAGCCGCGGUAAUACGUAGGGUGCAGGCGUUAAUCGGAAUUACUGGGCGUAAAGCGUGCGCAGGCGGCCUCUUAAGUCAGAUGUGAAAUCCCCGGGCUUUCCUCC
This 435-nucleotide ribosomal RNA is filed under the name uncultured ammonia-oxidizing beta proteobacterium. Its description in RNAcentral is "bacterial SSU rRNA". It matches the Rfam family "Bacterial small subunit ribosomal RNA", at positions 200 to 616 of the family's 1533-position model. Lineage: Bacteria; Pseudomonadati; Pseudomonadota; Betaproteobacteria. The record is from RNAcentral.